CAGAAAGACCCUAUGAAGCUUUACUGUAACCUGAAAUUGAAAUUGGACUUUAGUCGCGCAGCAUAGGUGGGAGGCUUUGAAGGUGUUUUUGCGGAAACACUGGAGCCAUUAGUGAGAUACCACUCUUCUAAUGUUAGAUUUCUAACUUUGAACCAUUAUCUGGUCAAAGAACAGUUUCAGGCGGGCAGUUUGACUGGGGCGGUCGCCUCCCAAAUGGUAACGGAGGCGUACAAAGGUUUCCUCUGAACGGGUAGAAAUCGUAUCUAGAGUGUAAAGGCAUAAGGAAGCUUGACUGUGAGACCUACAAGUCGAACAGGGACGAAAGUCGGUCUUAGUGAUCUGACGGUACUGAGUGGAAAGGCCGUCACUCAACGGAUAAAAGUUACUCUAGGGAUAACAGGCUGA
RNAcentral lists this ribosomal RNA (405 nucleotides) under Skeletonema sp. Its description in RNAcentral is "partial large subunit ribosomal RNA". It matches the Rfam family "Bacterial large subunit ribosomal RNA", at positions 2081 to 2485 of the family's 2925-position model. The record is from RNAcentral. Lineage: Eukaryota; Bacillariophyta; Thalassiosirophyceae; Thalassiosirales; Thalassiosiraceae.